Carcharodon carcharias (great white shark) is the source of this 1578-nucleotide long non-coding RNA. RefSeq lists it as uncharacterized. Lineage: Eukaryota; Metazoa; Chordata; Chondrichthyes; Lamniformes; Lamnidae. The transcript is spliced from 4 exons. The record is from RefSeq and is a predicted model, not a curated record.
UGGGGAAUACAAUUAGAGUCCCAUGUUGAACGGAAACGAAACUGUUUUGCUCCCUGUCUGGUUAGGUCGAUUAGACCGUGCGACUAAACUACAGAAAGAGACUGACUUGACUAUCCAAUUCUUGGUCUAUCGGGCGUGACGCUAUAAGAGUGAUGACCAUUUAGGUUUCUCUGGAGAUCGUCAGCGAAUUGUUUACAUUUUAUGCGCAAAUUAAUGAUUUUACAAUUCUAGGAAUACUAUUGAACAAUGCUUUAAAUAAUUCAACGAUCCAGCAGGUAUCCCUGCUCUCUAACCCGUAGCGUUGAACGGAAAAACGGAAAUAUGGUUGUUUACGUUUAAUUUAAUGACAGAAAAUGAAAUGCAGGGGUUCCUCAGAACCUUGUAACGUGUUGAGUUGUUGGACGGUGCCGAUGCUGCUGCUUGUGUUGUCCAAACAUUUAAAUGUUACCAACUGGGAGAGGAGCCCUGAGCAUGCGUGUCCAGAUCUAAGACUAUUGCUGCGGUAUAAAUACAGCAUUCUAGCUCAGAAUAGCUACUCUGUUAUUUGGGGGAAUCAAAUAUUGCGAGACUGGAAUUCUCCAAAACUAAAUUGAGUAUUAAUUGAAUUUUGGGAGAAAGAUGCUAUUUUACAGGCAAUGAUUGGCCUUUAUUAAAUGCACUUCAUUGAUCAACUUGUUCCAAGAUGGACCAGUGUGCCUGCGUAGUGGAGUGUGUGUACAUUUCACUGUAAAGAGUGCACACAGAUUUUUCUGCAGGUUUGGAUGUAUGUAUACACUUUCCUGUAUGAUUAAGUGAAGAUUGCCUAUGCAGUUAAGUGUCUGUGAUCUACCUGCAUAUAUGAAAUUUGGCCCCCUUGAACACACUCAACAACUGAGCCUCAACAACCCUCUGAGGAAGAGAAUUCCAAAUAUUCACCACCCACUGAGUGAAGAAAUUCCUCCUCAUCUCAGCUCUUAAUGGCCUGCCCCUCACUCUAGAACCUCCAGCCAUGGGAAACAUCCUUCCAGCAUCUACCCUAUUGAGCGCUACCUGCAGGGAGUACACCUCGACCUUUAAGAACAGCCAGAUGAAACACAGCUGUUAGGCAGAAGCUGAACAGCACAAACACUCCAGACCAGCCAUGUACAACACUACAGAGAUCAGAAUUCGUGACUGGUUGUCUAAGUGUGUUUAUUUCUCACUGUUCACACACACAAAAGGAAGGACUGCCAGACCUCCUGCCAAGCACCUGGGACCAACCAUUCCUUAACUCAACUGCUGUGAGAUAUGUAUUGAUUACUGUGAUAAGGUAAUACAUUGUUCAUUAUUUACAUCAUAUAAUACAUCAAUAUCAAAAUUUGUGUAUUAGUAUCUUAACCAAUUAUUGUUUCAAACCUCUUUAAAUUUACAUGAAUGCACUAUGCUUUAAAACGUAACAUUUAAAAUUAAUGCUGUGUAAAUCUGUUCCGUGGAAAAAUUGUAUAAAGAUUCCAAAAUGCGACAAUAACAUUUAUUGAACGUACACUGUAUCCUGCAAUUUGCUGUAAGUAAUGACAUAGCGGAGCCACUAGUGAUAUACAAUAAAUAAAUUAAAUUGAC